CCUACGGGUGGCAGCAGUGAGGAAUAUUGGUCAAUGGGCGGAAGCCUGAACCAGCCAAGUAGCGUGCAGGAUGACGGCCCUACGGGUUGUAAACUGCUUUUAUACGGGAAUAACGCGCCUUACGUGUAGGGCUUUGCAUGUACCGUAUGAAUAAGGACCGGCUAAUUCCGUGCCAGCAGCCGCGGUAAUACGGAAGGUCCGGGCGUUAUCCGGAUUUAUUGGGGGGAAAGGGAGCGUAGGCCGCAUGUCAAGCGUGCUGUGCAAUGUCCGGGCUCAACCCGGGCCUUGCCGCGCGAACUGGCGUGCUUGCGUCCGCGGCAAGCAGGCGGAAUUCGUCGUGUAGCGG
Molecule: ribosomal RNA, 346 nt
Filed under: uncultured bacterium
Lineage: Bacteria
Description: partial 16S ribosomal RNA
Rfam family: Bacterial small subunit ribosomal RNA
Source: RNAcentral